UGGUUAAAAAGCUCGUAGUUGGAUCUCGGCGGACCGAGGGCGGUUUGCUUGCUAGUAUUACUGCCCUAUAGUCCGUAGUUUUGCCAGAGGUUUCGGGGUGCUCUUAAUCGAGUGUCCCGGGAUGCUGGCAGGUUUACUUUGAAAAAAUUAGAGUGCUCAAAGCAGGCUAUUACGCCUGAAUAUUCGUGCAUGGAAUAAUAGAAUAGGAAGUCGUUUCUAUUUUGUUGGUUUUCAGAAAUCGACUUAAUGAUUAAUAGGGACAGUCGGGGGCAUUUGUAUUCAAACGACAGAGGUGAAAUUCUUGGACCGUUUGAAGACAAACUACUGCGAAAGCAUUUGCCAAGAAUGUUUUCAUUAAUCAAGAACGGAAGUUAAAGGUUCGAAGGCGAUUAGAUACCGCCCUAGUUUUAACCAUAAACGAUGCCAGCUAGCGAUCUGCGGACGUUUUUUUUGUAGACUCCGCAGGAAGCUUCCGGGAAACCAAAGCAUUUGGGUUCCAGGGGAAGUAUGGUUGCAAAGCUGAAACUUAAAGGAAUUGACGGAAGGGCACCACCAGGAGUGGAGCCUGUGGCUUAAUUUGACUCAACACGGGAAAUCUCACCAGGCCCGGACACUGGAAGGAUUGACAGAUUGAUAGCUCUU
This 642-nucleotide ribosomal RNA is filed under the name uncultured marine eukaryote. Its description in RNAcentral is "SSU rRNA". It matches the Rfam family "Eukaryotic small subunit ribosomal RNA", at positions 616 to 1259 of the family's 1831-position model. The record is from RNAcentral.